Molecule: ribosomal RNA, 253 nt
Filed under: uncultured bacterium
Lineage: Bacteria
Description: partial 16S ribosomal RNA
Rfam family: Bacterial small subunit ribosomal RNA
Source: RNAcentral
UACGUAGGGUGCAAGCGUUGUCCGGAAUCAUUGGGCGUAAAGGGCGCGUAGGUGGCGGGACAAGCGUGCGGUGAAAGCUCGGGGCUCAACCCCGAGUCGGCCGUGCGAACUGUUUUGCUGGAGCACUGUAGAGGCAGGCGGAAUUCCGGGUGUAGCGGUGGAAUGCGUAGAGAUCCGGAAGAACACCGGUGGCGAAGGCAGCCUCCUGGGCCAGCACUGACGCUCAUGCACGAAAGCGUGGGGAGCAAACAGG